RNAcentral lists this long non-coding RNA (2423 nucleotides) under Solanum tuberosum (potato). RNAcentral's name for it is "long non-coding RNA (STUB_LNC009341)". Lineage: Eukaryota; Viridiplantae; Streptophyta; Magnoliopsida; Solanales; Solanaceae. The record is from RNAcentral.
CCCACUCCAUUCCAUUUCCUCUUGUAAUUGGUCCAGUUCAAGAACUACUGGGCUUGCUCCAAGUCUCUUGUUCUAUCCAUUGUCUUAAUGAGAUAAAAUUGAUCAAAUGGUAGAGCUAAAAUGAUUGAUUGAUUGCUAUAAUAACACGGUGCGGAUGAAUUUUGCAGUCAAACCUCGAUAUAACAAUUAUUUGUUAUGAUAAUAUUUCACUAUAACAAUCUAAUUUUCUUUAGAACAGAUUUUUCAUGAUAUAUUUUACUCAUUUAUAACAAUAUUCUACCUAUUACAAUAGUGAAUUCAUUAUAGCAACACACUCAUUGUAAAAUUAGAUGUCUAUGAUAAUCAUACUCAAAUAUUACGUAAAAAAAUAUAUUAUGUAUAAAAAUAAAUAUUCAAAUAUUCAUGGUAAUUAUCACUAUUGUAAUGCAUAUAAUAAAUUUCAAAUAUGAGUAUCUCAAAUGUUGCUCGUCACUUAUAGUCAUAAAUUCACACUAGUGUUUUGACUUUUUAUAUUCAUAUUCUUUUUUAUUAAAUUGGUUAACGAAUACAUUCCUUCUUUAUAUACACCAUCAUUAGUUUUUGUAUUAUUUAUUUAUAACAGUUUGGUCUAAAUGUUACAUGUCACUGUGUGAGUAUACAUAUAACAUCACCAAGGAAAAAUUAUGUGACUUGGAAAACAUUGUGAGUUUACUAUUUAAUAAGGGUGAUUAUAGUUUAAUAUAGUUUGCUAUUAAAUAUGGGCCACACCUACUUUGUAUACUGAAUCAAAAAUGAUCUUCUCGGCUUUUGUAUACUCAUUUAUUCAAACACAAUUUUAUCUAUCCUCUCCCUAUUCCCUAAUUCUCUCAUGAAAUCACUCAUACACAUCCAAUUUGAAUUUCAAAAUUUACUCCCUCCCUCCUAAUAGUGAUUUCACUAUUGUAGGUAUUUGUCCAAAUUUUUGUUGGGUUUAACACAAGAUUUUGCAGGUAGCCGUCCAAAUUUUUGCUGGGUUUAACGCAAGAUUUUGGAAUCAACGCAGGAUCUAUUGCAAAAUCUAGAGAAAUUGAAGAGGAAAAAUUUAUUCAGGAAUUGAAAUCCAAUAAACAAAACGAUCCAAUGACAUUGCAGCAAGUUAUCAAUAAUGUUAAGGCAAGCGACAUCAAAAGAGUUGAAGGGGGAAAGGUGGUUCAUUAGAUCUUGACAAAUCUAAAGAACCACAUGUAUUCGUAUAUAUCUUAAAUGUAUAUAGCAAUUUGUAUAUUUAUUAGUUAUUAUUUAUACACAUACAAAAUUGUGAUUUAGUUCCAUAUAUACAUAACUAUAUUGAGGUGUAUUUAUAUAUUUGUAUAUUUAAAUCAUAUGUUCAUAUACGUAUACAAUCUAUAAUUAUAUACAAUUACAAAUAGUUCUAUCUUUUAUACAAAAUUACAAAUAUUUGUAUAUUUAUGCAGAUGCAUAAGUAGUAAUUAAUUUGUAUAAAUAUUGAUGUUAGUAUCGUAGUAGAACUAAUGAUGUGUAAAUACACGCAACUGAUUUAAUAAAGAUGAUGCAGAAUACUUAUGUUUUUACCUAAUGAAUGUAUUGGAAUAUAUUACGUAUGGAUGAUCACUAAAAUUUUAUUUUCCUACAAUAAGGUUACUAAACUACUUUUGGAUUAAAAAGUUAGGAUGGUCGCUAAAUUUUUAAUUUCUUGCAAUAAAGUUCGUAAAUUAUUUAUGUAAUAAAAAAAUCAUUCAUUCAACUUUACUAUGAAAUAGUAUAAUGAAGAUAGCUAAAAAUAAAUUUAAUAAAAAAGUCACAUUGCCUAAUUGCCAUAAAAAUCACUAGGCCAAAAAAAAAUUAAGAAGAUAUGGCUCUACAACGAACAUAAUAUUUUCUUUGAUACUUAGGCAAAAUCGAAAAUCUUUUUAUAAUAAUUUUUUAUACUUUUUAUGAUAAUUAAAUUUAAUUAAGUUAUAACUUUCUUGUUAUGAAGAAUAACUUCUAACUUUUUUGCGAUAAAUUAAAAGUUGAGAGACAUAUAGGUAAACCCUUUUUCAAAGGAUGGAUCAUAAUCUAAUUAAUAAAAGUUUAAUAUUCUUAAUUAUUUGAGGUUAAUUUAGUAAAUUAGACAAAAAAAAGUGCCUAUAAAAUUUUAAUAUUGUUAGGAUAAAAAUAUCAUUAUAUAAACUAUCAUACAAGCAAGUGGAUCAAACAGCUUUUCUAAGCCUUAAACUCAACAAUGAUGAAAGUUAAAUCAAGCAUCAAUAUGGGUGAGAAGGAAUAAUCAAAUACAAUGGAAAAAACUAUUUUUGGCAUAUUGUCACGGACUUAGACUCCAAUUAAGCACUUCGUGCGAGACUUGACAACUUACUCAUAAAUUUUUCACCAUCUUGUAAGCUUAAGUAAGCUUUUUUCAUGAAUUUCUAAAAAGACUUUUAUAUUGCUUGUAAGAAUACUUG